AGCCUAGAGUCUUGUAGAGAGGGGUAGAAUUCCAGGUGUAGCGGUGAAAUGCGUAGAGAUCUGGAGGAAUACCGGUGGCGAAGGCGGCCUCCUGGACAAAGACUGACGCUCAGGUGCGAAAGCGUGGGGAGCAACCAGGUUUAGAUACCCUGGUAGUCCACGCCGUAAACGAUGUCGACUUGGAGGUUGUGCCCUUGAGGCGUGGCUUCCGGAGCUAACGCGUUAAGUCGUCCGCCUGGGGAGUACGGCCGCAAGGUUAAAACUCAAAUGAAUUGACGGGGGCCCGCACAAGCGGUGGAGCAUGUGGUUUAAUUCGAUGCAACGCGAAGAACCUUACCUACUCUUGACAUCCAGAGAACUUUCCAGAGAUGGAUUGGUGCCUUCGGGAACUCUGAGACAGGUGCUGCAUGGCUGUCGUCAGCUCGUGUUGUGAAAUGUUGGGUUAAGUCCCGCAACGAGCGCAACCCUUAUCCUUUGUUGCCAGCGGUCCGGCCGGGAACUCAAAGGAGACUGCCAGUGAUAAACUGGAGGAAGGUGGGGAUGACGUCAAGUCAUCAUGGCCCUU
RNAcentral lists this ribosomal RNA (565 nucleotides) under Enterobacter sp. Its description in RNAcentral is "bacterial SSU rRNA". It matches the Rfam family "Bacterial small subunit ribosomal RNA", at positions 638 to 1203 of the family's 1533-position model. The record is from RNAcentral. Lineage: Bacteria; Pseudomonadati; Pseudomonadota; Gammaproteobacteria; Enterobacterales; Enterobacteriaceae.